GGUUUGUGGCUCAGUGGUAGAGUGCUGACUUAACUCGUGUGAGGCACUGGGUUCAAUUCUCAGCACCA
Molecule: transfer RNA, 68 nt
Filed under: Marmota monax (woodchuck)
Lineage: Eukaryota; Metazoa; Chordata; Mammalia; Rodentia; Sciuridae
Description: tRNA.Val
Source: RNAcentral